Molecule: long non-coding RNA, 7003 nt
Filed under: Malus domestica (apple)
Lineage: Eukaryota; Viridiplantae; Streptophyta; Magnoliopsida; Rosales; Rosaceae
Description: long non-coding RNA (MDOM_LNC021068)
Source: RNAcentral
GUGAUUAGCCUUUGCUUAUGCAAAGAGGAAUCUACAAAGGUACAAUUUCAACUCACUUUGUUUUGAGUUGAUUAAUGGUUCACCAAUCUACUAGGCUUUGAAUUUCUUGGUUAAUGUUUUGUUUUUAAGUGCAUGCUAGCAUGAUUCCGCCUUUAAUUGUUAAUUGCAUGCUUAUUGAUGUUGCUUAAAUGAACAUGUUUUCACAAAAUUUUCCUUCAUGAAGGAUUGGUUUUAGCAUUUGUUUGCGGAUUGUUUAACUGCUGUUACAUCAUGCACUUAGUCUUCCAUGUGCGUUAAACUGGGGUGUGGUAAUAUUGUUAUAGAAGUUGAUGAGGUAAUAGUAUAGCUAUGGAUAAGUAGAUGUCUAGCAGGUUCUCAUUUUUUUUACUGUUGCCAAGGUGCUUUGGAAUCCUGUAUCCCCCGGUUUCCUAAAUCUUGUGGUCUACUCAGUUACUAAUUGAACUGAAUUGAAAAUGCUAGUUAGGUAUGACCUUGGCCUUGGGUUUACUUAAUAUUUUGGACUAACUACAUUUAAAAUGCAAGUGGCCAUUUACUACAGUGGUGGAAAGAAGUUCAACCCUUGCCAAACGGUGUGAGUUCAAACCCCGUCGGUGGUUAAUCUAACAUCUAAUUUAAUAAAAUCUAUCGUUUGACCCAAAAAAAAAUGUCAAACCCUUUAAGUUUGAAUUGAUUUUCAUAAUUGGCCAUGAGCUUGCAUUCUUCUCACAUUGCACCAUAAGGUUUUGAAAUUGAACACAUUUUAGUUCAUUUGUGACCUUAGGAUCUUGUCACUUUGAUUUUUGGAACCCUUUUUUCUAUGUGUUUUUUAGAUACCCAGAUGAAAAAAGAGACCAAAAUUCAAGUCCUUGGCCUUCUAUUCAAGGAUACCAUCCCAAAUUCGAUCGUCUCUGAUGUGAAAUAAUCCAACACUCAAAUUAAACCCUCUUAUUGACAAUUGUAGUAAAGAUGUAAGUAGGGAUCGUUCUUGACCGAGGAGUAGGAGGAAUUGCUAAUCUAUGCUAAACUGAGUUUAAAACACAAAACUAGGCUUGAAAACACUUAACGAGACUCAAAGAAUGGAAAACUAGACUCUAAUAUACUAAAACAACUCAAAUGACUCAAAACAGCACAAAACAAGCUAAUUGACUUAAAACAGACACUAAGAGUGAAUUUGAACGAAAAUUGGUUUUACCUUGACUCAAAAUACUUAAAAACUAAAACUAAAACAGUUUCUAACUAAUAUGACUCAACAAAGUUAAGGGGGAUUCGGUUUUGACGAAUUUGAAACAAACAAACAAAUUGUAAAACUAAACAGAUUGUAAAACAAUUUUUUUUGGAAAUAAGAUGGUUGAUGGAUUAGCUAGAGGUCCAUUCUUCACACAUGACACACUUGUACAUGAAUCAAUUUCCAAUUGCUUUUCAAUAAAUUAUGAAGCUUAACUCCCCAGAUUAACCGUGAUGCACUAAUUAACCCUCAGAUUUUCCUUUAUUCAUUGAAUUGGAUCAAUGCAUGCGACAACUCAAAUCAUUCUCCAAAGGUGCCCUACAUGAAUGCAUAAUAGAGAUACAAUCAGAGAUCAUUACGUUCCAUGAAAAUCAUAAGUGUUGACAAGACAUUCGUAACUAUGAAUGUAUGAUACGUUUGCCAAGAAUUCAAUUAACGCGAUUGUGACUAGCAACCUUCACUACUCAUGAAUAUAAAUUUGUAAUGAUUAAGUGAAACUCAAUUAUAUUCUAGCAUUAAAUUCAUGCACGAAAACUAAGUAUGCAUCCUUAAUCAACAUACAAGAAUCAGUUUUGAAGAAAACAAUUAAUUGAAUUGCAUUCACAACUUAUCAAAUCACAAUUGGAAGAGAUCAAUUCAUAUCUCAAGGAUGUUCAUGGCUUCGAACUUUCCCCUAGCUAAGUAGGGGUUUAGCCACUCAUAGUUACAGCAAAAUCAGAGAAUAAUAAAGUAGACAUUGAAAACAAGAACGAAGUACACCUAAAACGCUCCAAUCUUCAAGCUUGAAACGUCAAAGGCCCUUCUUCUUCCCCACCUUGCUGCGGCACAAGUGACUAUGGAUGUUUAUGGUUGAAUGAAAGGGUUAGAGAUGUGUUAAGGUUGAAUGUGGCUGCGGCAAAGGAAGGAGAAUGGCUGGAAUUAUGUAUGGGAGUGAAUGAAUGUGUAGAAUGGUGAAUCCCAGAUAGAGAAUGCGGCUAGGGUGUUUAUUUAAAGACUUUAGGGUAUUUAAGGCUAGGAAAUAAUUUAGGUAACAGAAAUUAAACCAAAACUUAAAGGGAAAUAGGAAUUAAAGUUAGAAUCCUAAGGAAAAGGGGAUGUAGGGUGCGGCAAAGACUGAAAAUAAAGGGAAAAGGAUUUACCUAUGCGGCAAGGGAAGAUAAUGAGUUUUCCUUGCUGAUUUGGGUCCUAAAUUAAAAGGGAAUGUGUUUACUUGUGCGGCAUGGAAAGGUAAUUGAUGAGAAAGGUGCGGCAUCCUCCUAGAGCAAGGAAUUAGAUAUCCCAAAGUGUUUAGAACUCCUUCUUUGUAGCUAAAACCUUUGUAGAUUAGGAUUAGGAAACUUUGACUUGAUCAAUCCUUCUUCUUCCUGGAUUCCUUUUCCUUCCUUGACUUGAAUUAAUUUUUCUUCCUCUCUUUAGCUGAUUCGUAGCAUGCUUUGGUCUUCAAUUUCAUCCAUCUAUAUUGCUCCAAGCAUAAGCUAUUCCAUUCAUGCCCAAGACUGCUCCAAAAGGCUCCAAAAUGCACAUUUUUGCAUACUUUGUCCUUAGAACCUAAAAUUGCAUGAAAAUGACUUUAAACACUAAAAUAACUUAAAGAAUAACAACAAAAAUGCACAAGAACAAGCUAACUAAGUCGCAUAAAUAUGCUCAUAUCAGUCUCGCUGAUGCAGACGACCCUACUCGACCCAUUCUUCAAGGGAGGUGGUUGCUCGAAGUGGGAAGUUGCCAAACCCCAAGUUGCCUUUGACCCCCACUGCUUGGGCUUCUUAGGUCAACCAGAUACACUUCGACGACUCCUAGAAAAAGUUAGUCAUUCUUGAUGCCAACAAAAUCUUUACAGUUGAGAUCAAUAUGGACUGUGAGCUUUUGGUGGCCACCCUAAACUUCUGGUGCUUGGCCACUAAUAUGAUGAUCUUGCCCCUUAGUCUAGUGAGCCCCACCCUGCUCGACGUCAUUGCCUUUCUCUGUAGGUCAUCAACUCGCCUUCCAAUCGAUGCCUCUUUUUAUCGCCUUACCAAUAUGAACUUGACUUAAACACCGUCUUUCACCUCAUCAAACUUUCCUUAUAUAAGUCAGCUAAUACUUAUACAUGGUUAUUUUAAUCUUUGCUAAAGCGCAUGCGGAAAGGCUAGUAUAUAUGAAGCCAUUAGGCAAAAACGGUAAAGCAUUUCGAAAUGAUGAAAAUACCUCACUUAACACACAAAGCUAACAAAAAUAGGGCCAAAAUUGUAAUAUAAUACCAUUCAUAAAUUAUUUACAAAUUAAAAAAACAAAAUACAAAAUGUAGAAGGUCUGCUGUGAGCAAUAUAUGUGCCCAUCUCAACAAUUACAAUUCUGAACCAUUAGAUGAAAACAACCACACAUUAAAAUUCAUUGUGACCGCUUAGACUUGACAAUUUCUCACACGAGCCGUUAACACGACACAAAAAUAACAUAUUUUAGGUUGACACAAUAACUAAUCAGGUCGUUAUCGGGUCACCAGUUAAUAAUAUGUCCUUAAUGGGUUUACACGCGAGUAACUCAUGGGUAACCCGUUUCGACCCGUAAUAAAAAAAAAUAUUUUGACAAUUUUAAAUUUAAACUACUAAAAAAACUUACUAUAAAAUACAAUAGCCCUAGUGUAUAUAUUAAUAUAUUUUAUUGGUUAAUAUUCUAUAUAAGUUAAAAAAAAAGGAGCUUUAAUAAAAAGAAAAACUAAUGAAAAUGCCUUGAAAACUUUGAGUUUUAACGAUAAGGACAAAAUAAAGGGUAAAAUGAAUAGUACCAUGUUUGACUUUUUAGUGUAAAAAUGUGCUUUUUCAUUAAAGUGAACAGUACCGCGGGCUUUUCGUUAAAACUCCCUUAAUAAAAAGGGCUUUCCACCAACCACCCCUACAAACCAGCAAAAAGAAGCCAAUUUUAAAUCCUUUCCGCAAAACCCAAUUCCAACUUCAAACUCCAAAUUUCAAACCAAAAUCUACACAACAAUGGCAUAAAAACAAAAAAUUUCGGCCAAACAACAAGUUGCCUCCAAACAAUGGUACUAAACUGAAAUCCUUGUUUGUAUGUUCGUGAUUCCAUAUAAUUGAUAGGAGCAUAUUUAUGCGACUUAGUUAGCUUGUUUUCUUGCAUUUACAUAACUAAUUUCUACUUAUUAGAGUGUUUUAAACUAUUUUCGUGUGUUUUCAGGUUCAAAUGACAAAGUUGGCAAGAAAGUACAAUUUUGAGCAUUUUAGAGCUGUUUUGGGCUUGGAAUGGACAACAUAAGGGAUGGACAUUUUUGAAGUUUGAAGAGGCUAGGAAUGUGCUACAAAUCUGGAGAAAUUAAAUCAAGACUUAGAGGAUAAGGAAUCAGCUAAAAAGAAGGAACAUUAUCUUAACCAACCUUAUCUUAUCCAACAUUAUCCAAACUAACAUUAUCUUAUCUUAUCAUAUCCUAAUCUUAUCCUACAAUAUUUUCAGUUGCAAGGGGGAUUCCUUUUCACAUUAAACCAUUUCCUAUCUAAUUUAAGGAGUCCUAAAACAAUGCAAACAACCUAAUCCCUUUUCUCCAAGGAUUGGUGCCGUGAACCCUACCCUAUAUAAACAUAAUUGUGCCACAGGUUUUAGGGGGGAUUUUCAAAGAGCUUUAGAGAGAAAUUUAGAGAAGAAAAAAAUAUAAAGAGUGCUGAAGCUUUGCAAGGAAGAAGAAGCUUGGAGCUGUGCCUGCCAUUCAAGACCUUUGGAGUGCUGGUGCGUUCCUAGGUGUAUUUUAUCUUUUGUUUUCAAUGUUUAAUUUAAGUUAUCUUUGUUUAAGUGCGACCAUGCGGAACUAAACUCGUUUUGGCUAGAGGAGAAUUCAAAGCCAUGAACAUAUAUUGCAUAUGAAUUGAUUACGUUAAAUUAUUAUUUCAUAAAUCGUGAAUGCAAUUUGCUUAAUUGUUUGAUUCAGAACUUAUUCUUGUAUGUUGAUUAAGGAGGCCUACUUAGUUUGCAUGCAUGAAUUUGAUGCUAAAAUAUAAGGGAGUUUCACCUAAUAGUUAUGAACUUAUAUUUAUAAGUAGUGGAGGUCACUGGUCAUGAUCGUGUUAAGUAAAAUUCUUGGGAGGAGUAUCAUGUUGUUCAUAGUUACGAAUGCAUUGUCAAUGCUUAUGAUUUUCAUAGAACUUAAUGAUCUUUGAUAUGUAUCUCUAUCAUGUUGUUCGUGUAGGGAACUUAAUAAGAAUAAUUUGGUUGCGAUGCUGAGUCCAAUUCAAUGAACGUAGGAAAAUUUAAGGGUUAAUCUGGGGUGUUGUCAUUCAUGGUCGAUAGGAAUAAUAAUUGGAAAUCAAUUUGUAUUCAUAUGUGUCAUGUGUGGAGAUGAACCCUCUAGCUAGCCAUUCACCCAUUAAAACACCCAAUUUCGUCCAAAGUUGUUUAGAGUCUUUAAAUAUGUCUGCUUUUACUUUAAAUUCGUCAAAAACCACUUCCCCCUUUAUAUUUUGUGUCUUUUAGUUAGAAUCUGUCCAAAAUGGUUUCUUUUUAGUAUUUUGAGUCAACAUAAGUUAGAAUUCAUCCAUACACAUUGUUUUGAGUCUUUUUAGUUCAAUUUUCGUCCAAAGUCAUCCUUAGUGUUAGUUUUGAGUCAAUUUGUUUGUUUUGUGUAGUUAUGAGUAGUUUGAGUCAGUCUUGAGUCAUAAGAGUCUAGUUAAGUGUAAUUGUGUCUAAUUUGUGUAGAUUAGAAUCCCUCCUAAUCCCCGGCCUAGAACGAUCCCUACUUAUCCAUACUACAAUUGUCAAAAAGAGGGUUUAAGUUUGAGUGCUAGUUUAUAUCACAUGAUGUGAAAUAUUCCAACACUCAAAUUAAAACCCUAUGAUUGUAGUAUAUGUAAGUAGGGAUCGUUUAAGGUCGGGGAUUAGAAGGUAUGCUAAUCUACUCAAUUUAAACUUCAAAACACUAAACUAGACUCAAAAAUAGAAAACUAGACUCUUAUGACUCAAAACUGACCAAAUUGACUCAAAACAGCAAAACUAAGUUAAAAAGACUCAAAACAACUACUAAAGAGUGAUUUGGACGAAUUCUAAACUAACUAGACUCAAAAUACUAAAUGGGGACAUAUUUGAACGAAAUUAACUAAACUAAGACACCAAAUAAGAACUAAGGGGGUUUUUGGACGAAUUUGACAAAACUAAGUAAAUUGCAGCAAACAAAGUUGAAACGAAAUUAAGAUGAAUUCAAGGGUGAAAAGCUAGUUAGAGGAUCCUUCUUCACACAUGAAACAUAUGCACAUAAAUUGAUUUCCAGUAUUGUUUCUUCAAACCAUGAAUGAUAAUGCCCCAAAUUAAUUGUGAAUGCACUAAUUAACUUUCAGAUUUUCCUCAGUUCAUUGAAUUGAAUGGACAACGCAUUGCAACCAAAUUAUUCUUAUCAAGUUCCCUAUAUGAACAGCAUGAUAGAGAUACAUUCAAAGAUCAUUAAGUUCUAUGAAAAUCAUAAGCAUUGACAUGGCAUUCGUAACUAUGAAUUGCAUGAUGCUCCUGCCAAGAAUCUACUUAACACGAUUGUGACUAGCAACCUUCACUACUUGUAAAUAUAAGUUUGUAACUAUUAGUUGAAACUCCCUUAUAUUUUAGCAUCAGAUUCAUGCAUGUAAACUAAGUAUGCAUCCUCAAUCAACACACAAGAAUAAGUUCUCAAUCAAACAGAGUAAAUCACAUUCAUGUUUUACAAAACAAAAACUAAAAGUAAUCAAUUCAUCUUAAACAUAUCUCCAUGGCUUUGAAUUCACCCCUAACUAAAAAGGAAUUAGUUCCACAUGUUCAUAACAAUUGAAAAGCAACAGA